GGCCUUGCUCUUAUGUCAUUUGACUAAAGGUUUCAUAGACCAAAGAUAACCAUCCAACUUGUUGGAAUACUGAAACAAUUGCUGCCUGCUGUCCACACACCACAUAAAAUAUGUGGAUUUUGUAAAUUCUGCAAAAAAGGUUUGGAAGCUGAUCAAUCAAUACUGGAACUCCCUCUUCUCCAGAAGAGACAUCCUGGCCUCCAAGCAGAGGAAUGUGUGGAUGGACAUAUAUUUAAGGAAGACACUAAACCAGAAACUACUACAUUACACCCUCUUAGAAGACUUCUAAGAUUGUUGUCAUGCCUACCACAGACAUUCAGAUGAUGUGUAUUGUUGAUUGUGAUUUCAUGUUUGGACCUGAUGAAGGAGUUUGAAGUCUCCAGAGCAGCAAAGAGAGUGGGGAGUAGAACUAUUCAUCUUUAGGUCACUCAUCAUC
Molecule: long non-coding RNA, 436 nt
Filed under: Mus musculus (house mouse)
Lineage: Eukaryota; Metazoa; Chordata; Mammalia; Rodentia; Muridae
Description: predicted gene, 34716
Source: RNAcentral